CUACGGGCGGCUGCAGUGAGGAAUAUUGCACAAUGGGGGGAACCCUGAUGCAGCAACGCCGCGUGGAGGAUGACGCAUUUCGGUGUGUAAACUCCUUUUAUAUGUCAAGAAAAUGACGGUAGCAUAUGAAUAAGCACCGGCUAACUCCGUGCCAGCAGCCGCGGUAAUACGGAGGGUGCAAGCGUUACUCGGAAUCACUGGGCGUAAAGGACGCGUAGGCGGGUUGGAAAGUCAGGUGUGAAAUCCUACAGCUUAACUGUAGAACUGCACUUACAACUUCUAAUCUAGAGUAUGGGAGGGGGAGAUGGAAUUCGUGGUGUAGGGGUAAAAUCCGUAGAUAUCACUAGGAAUACCCAAAGCGAAGGCGAUCUCCUGGAACAUUACUGACGCUAAGGCGUGAAAGCGUGGGGAGCAAACAGGAUUAGAUACCCCGGUAGUC
This 439-nucleotide ribosomal RNA is filed under the name uncultured bacterium. Its description in RNAcentral is "partial 16S ribosomal RNA". It matches the Rfam family "Bacterial small subunit ribosomal RNA", at positions 339 to 795 of the family's 1533-position model. The record is from RNAcentral.